RNAcentral lists this ribosomal RNA (1068 nucleotides) under Triticum aestivum (bread wheat). RNAcentral describes it as "partial small subunit ribosomal RNA". Lineage: Eukaryota; Viridiplantae; Streptophyta; Magnoliopsida; Poales; Poaceae. The record is from RNAcentral.
AUGUGCUAUAAGGCCUGGUCCGCCUUCUCCGCUGAUCCAGACUACUGCAAGAAGCUGCCCAAAAAAGUAACCACUGGCCUUUUGUACCAAGGCCACAAUAAGUCUGCAAUCCCGCUUGUUAGCCUGUCCCAAGAUGAUGGAGAAAUCGAUGGAAUUCUUUCUGACAUGCCACAGUAUGAGCAUUUGGAAUUUCUUGACUGCUGCAAUGGUCUUGUCCUCUGUAAGUACAGGAGCAGCUAUACCUCUCCAGGCAUUUGUCGCUUUGUUGUGUGCAACCCAGCAACACGAGAGUGGAGGAUACUUCCUGACACUCAUGCUGGAACUGAUAGCCGUCGUGAUGCAACUAUUUUGGCAUUUGAUCCUUCAUGGUCACCACACUUCUAUGUCUUCAACUUUAAUCAGCAUUACCACAGUCCGAUGAGCAAACUUGAGAUCUUUUCUUCUGAUGGGUCCAUGUGGCUUGUGGAUGAUAAAUGGGAUUCUUAUGUAAGUGUUUGUUGGAGAUCUCACAUAUUUCUUGAUGGAGUGUUGUAUGCGGAGACUACUGGACAAGACGUUUUGGUGUUUGGAGCCUUGGGGUCAAUGAGUAAUGGCAAACUGCCCUAUCAUCAGAUCAUUGAGAAGCCAUCUGACACUUUUUAUGUGGGUACUUUUACCCAUGGUUGCUUUGGCAAAUCUUUAGGGAACUUGCACUACGCGAUGCCAGAUGUGAGUGGUCACUCAAUCGUGAUUUGGACUCUAGAUGAAUAUGCUCAUGAUCCAGGGACUUGGUAUGUGAAGUGUCAUAUUAGUAUGACAGAUGCAUUUGGAAGGGAUGACUUUGUUUACUAUGACAAUGGUGGUGAUGGUGGUGACAGCCACUGGUUUUGGAACUGUGAUUACUGGAUUCUCGCUCUCGAUUUGGAGAGAGACCUUGUUUUCCUCUCUGACCAGAAGACAAAUAAAGUUCUUUCUUACAACAUCAGCACUGGGGAACUCAAGGAGAUACGAGACCACUUUGAGCGGUUUCAAUACCAUGUCUAUGUACCAUGCUACUCAAAACUUCCAGCUCAAGAAUCUUCUGUGUAG